This 563-nucleotide ribosomal RNA is filed under the name uncultured bacterium. RNAcentral's name for it is "bacterial SSU rRNA". It matches the Rfam family "Bacterial small subunit ribosomal RNA", at positions 338 to 916 of the family's 1533-position model. The record is from RNAcentral.
CCUACGGGAGGCAGCAGUGGGGAAUAUUGGACAAUGGGCGAAAGCCUGAUCCAGCAAUGCCGCGUGAGUGAUGAAGGCCUUAGGGUUGUAAAGCUCUUUUACCAGGGAUGAUAAUGACAGUACCUGGAGAAUAAGCUCCGGCUAACUCCGUGCCAGCAGCCGCGGUAAUACGGAGGGAGCUAGCGUUGUUCGGAAUUACUGGGCGUAAAGCGUACGUAGGCGGUUAUUCAAGUCAGAGGUGAAAGCCUGGAGCUCAACUCCAGAACUGCCUUUGAAACUAGAUAGCUAGAAUCUUGGAGAGGUGAGUGGAAUUCCGAGUGUAGAGGUGAAAUUCGUAGAUAUUCGGAAGAACACCAGUGGCGAAGGCGACUCACUGGACAAGUAUUGACGCUGAGGUACGAAAGCGUGGGGAGCAAACAGGAUUAGAUACCCUGGUAGUCCACGCCGUAAACGAUGAUAACUAGCUGUUCGGGCUCUACGAGCUUGAGUGGCGCAGCUAACGCAUUAAGUUAUCCGCCUGGGGAGUACGGUCGCAAGAUUAAAACUCAAAUUGAAAUUGACGG